Molecule: long non-coding RNA, 588 nt
Filed under: Equus caballus (horse)
Lineage: Eukaryota; Metazoa; Chordata; Mammalia; Perissodactyla; Equidae
Description: lncRNA (ENSECAG00000054998.1)
Source: RNAcentral
GAGGAAGCCAGUCACCAUGUCAUGGGGACACUUACAAAGCCAUGUAGAGGCUUGCAGGGAGGAAUGUGGUAUUCUCUCAGCACCGAGCACCAAAUGGUGUGCAUUACUUUGGAAUUAAAUCCUUCAGCAGCAGACAAGCCUUGAGAUAACUGCAGUCCAGCUGACAUCCUGACUGCAACCUCAUGAGAGGCCCCAAGCCCCAGUUGCCCAACUAAACCACUUCUUAAUACCUGACUCAUAGAAACUGUGAGAGAUGAUAAAUUGCUACAUUUUGAGCCACUUUGGGAUGGAGGGUCUGGUAGAUAGAUGGAUUCGGACAGUCAGAGAGACGAGUCUCGGCAGCAAGAUGGUUGAGAAAAGAAGAUAAGCAUGAAGGGGACUGCCAUAGAUUCUCAAGGGACUCUAGGCUCACUGAGAUCUGGCUCAUUACGAUGUCAAGAACUAAGGUGAGCCUCCAGAAAUCUACACCCAGGGACUGGCUCAUGCUGUGGGCAAAUAUACCUUACUAAGAAUGUGUCUACCUUGUUUGUUGAAACAAUUUGUUGCAUGUUUGUUAGGCACUGUGAAAAAUUAAAAGAAAUAGAUGAC